AAAAAACUGAAGAAUAUUAGAGAGGUAGCCGCUGGCAAGCGAGCCUGCGUUGCUGGAAGGCAGGUGCAGCUGGUCUCUUGAACGCGCUUUGGUAAGACAUUUAAAUAUCAUUUGAGUGGAAUGUUGCACAUUCAACUAGAGUGGUACCGCGGGAAAUUUCUCGUCUCUAAU
This 171-nucleotide unclassified non-coding RNA is filed under the name Limosilactobacillus mucosae. RNAcentral describes it as "Lactobacillus mucosae T-box". Lineage: Bacteria; Bacillati; Bacillota; Bacilli; Lactobacillales; Lactobacillaceae. The record is from RNAcentral.